RNAcentral lists this transfer RNA (22 nucleotides) under Jurinea humilis. RNAcentral describes it as "partial tRNA-Gln". The record is from RNAcentral. RNAcentral also lists the same sequence under 2 other names. Lineage: Eukaryota; Viridiplantae; Streptophyta; Magnoliopsida; Asterales; Asteraceae.
CGGAGUCGAUCCUUCCGUCCAG